AAGUGAGAGCUUAGCAGAAACACUCAUUAAUAUAUUUAUGUGCACUUUUCUUUUCUCUCUAAUUUCACGCCUUUAAAACUUUUCCCAUCAACAUCAACCCUGAGAGUUUCUAAGUAUUUUCUCCCACCCGAUGUGCACACUUUAGAAAGAGUAAUUAGCAAAAAAAAUAGAUUAAAAAGAAAAAAUCCAAAUCGAGUUUCAACACUUAACAACAGGCAUAAGCCCAUGCACUGCACUACAGGGCAAUAUUUCAUUCUUUUUUUCCUUUCUUGAAAAUAACCAAAGUGUGACCAUCACAAAUCUCCAUGCCACCAGACAUAAAAGGAAACUGCUCUCUCUGGAAGCCAAUCCCUAUGGCUCCAUGAGGAUCCUCGUGCAACACACGCGCCCCAAAUGUGAAAUACUUUACCUGUAGCAUCAGCCGGAAAACGCAGCUGGUACUCAAAACCAGAGCUUAAAAAUAAGCUUUGUUAUUGAGUAUUUAGCUCAUCAUGAACAUGAGUAUGUCCUCAUGUGACUGAUAAAUCACUGCUGGGAGACACAAAGUAGGGCAGUAUUUCACAGAGCCCAGCAAGGACCCAACAGCUUCAGGAGCUGUGUGAGGAUGAGCAGCACAGAUCUGAUGUAAAGGCAGUGAGGAGUUCUGCCUUGCAUGGGAUACAGCUUUCUAAGCUCAGAAAAUUUAACACAGCACAAAGUCAACUCCAAUAUUUCACUUCCUGGCAAGACGCUUUCCCCCACCACAAACAGGAGGGAAUACGCUAUUAAAUCUGACAGCAUUGCGAGGAAAAAAUAGCAAAUACCGAGAGCUACUUUUCACAGCUCAGGGAAAGAAGAAGGAGGGUCUCAGGUCCAAAGGCCAGCAUUCAAAUCCUGAAGCCAAGGAAAAUAACAUCAUAUAUAUGAGUGAUAUGGAAAAGAGGCUCUCUAGAGCUCACAACUGCAAUGUGUUUCAUCAUGGAAGGUGGGAAAAGCAGUAUUCACCAUUACCAGUUUCAAUGACUGGGAGCUGAACUGGUUUUCAUGAAGAACUAGGCACCAUUUGGGACUGAAAGACAUUUCUUUGCAUUUGUUUUCCAGUAGGUAUUUAAGAUAUCUCAGGCCAACACCUUCUCAAUGCAUUUUAAGGAUAUCUUAAUAUUAUUAUUAUUUUUAAUAUAGCAGUACAGAAGGACAAUACUUUAAUAAUAUACCAGUAACAAACAAAUAUCACUACAGGACGUCAAGUCAUUCACAAGGGCUUUUUUGUAUCUUAACCAAUAAGAGGAAGAAGCACAAAUCCACAUGUAUGCUCUAUUCAUCAUUGCCACAAGCACACUGUAAGUUCUACACCACACCAAAUCAUACCUCUACAAACUUCCU
This 1362-nucleotide long non-coding RNA is filed under the name Coturnix japonica (Japanese quail). Its description in RNAcentral is "lncRNA (ENSCJPG00005016842.1)". The record is from RNAcentral. Lineage: Eukaryota; Metazoa; Chordata; Aves; Galliformes; Phasianidae.